GCUUAGUUCAAAGAUUAAGCCAUGCAUGUCUAAGUUUAUACAGUGAUUUAUCACUUCUGAAACUGCAUAUGGCUCAUUAAAUCGGUUGUAAACUCUCACAAACUACACUGUUACUAUAUAUUAUAAUUUCGGUUGUAAUGUAUGGUAACAAUAAAUGGAUAUCUGUGGGAAUUCUAGAGCUAAUACAUGAUUCUAUCAAUAAUGAUAGGUUUUAUGAAGUAAUGUUAAUAGCAUUAUGGAGUACUACGCGUUCGUUAUUAAUUUAAUCUAAAGACCUUAUACUGUUGUUAAUUAUUAAUCUCGGUUAAUAGUUAAUUUCAAUAUAUGGUUGAAUCCCACUGAACUCACUAGAUUUGCCAAUCGCAUAAAUUUAUUAAUAGCAAUAUUAAUAAAGGCGAUAGUUUGUAGAGACUUCCGACUCAUCAGCUUAUGUUGGUAAAAUAUAGGUUUACCAAGGCAUUGACGGGUAACGGAGGAUUGGGGUUUGAUCCCGGAGAGGGAGCCUGAGAAAUGGCUACCACUUCUAAGGAAGGCAGCAGGCGCGCAAAUUACCCAAUGUCAAAUUGAUGAGGUAGUGACGAUCAAUAACGACGUGGACUUCUAUUGAAGGUCCACGAUCGGAAUGAGCUCUCCUUAGAUUAUUGAGCGAGUAACAAUCGGAGGAAAAGUCUGGUGCCAGCACCCGCCGGUAAUUCCAGCUCCGAUAGCAUAUAUUAAAGUUGUUGCAGUUAAAAAGCUCGUAGUUGAUUUUGAGUGCAAUGGUUAUGAUCUUUAAAAACAGCUCUUAAUUUAUAAAUAAUAAGAUUAGCAAUAAGAUUAUUAUUUAUGGUUUUGAUGUCUUUUUUAUUGAUUAUAAUCAAUAAACGGUUACAUAUAAUUCGGUACGUUACCGCGAGUAAUGUUAUCGAGGCCGAGCACAAGAUUAAUAAUUAUUGAUUCUUUAUUCAUUCGUGUUUAAUUAAUUGAUAGUUAUUAAUCUAAACCUGGAGUAAAUUAGGGUGUUUAAAGCAGGUUGUUCGUAUGAACGCCUUGAAUAGUUGAGCGUGGAAUUUUAAAUUACCUUAAUUUGGAUCCCAAUACCUAAAACUGGUUUUAUAAUAGCAAUAUUAUAAAGGUCUUUAGAGGGUAUUAAAUAUAAUUCUCGGAUUAUGUUUUUUCUUUAAUUGUUCUUUCGGGUUCAGUUAAAGGAAGGGAAUUUAUUGAUGAGGGUGGUCGGUGGUGUUAGUAUUUAGUUGUCAGAGGUGAAAUUCUUGGACCAACUAAAGACUAUCUUCAGCGAAAGCAUUCACCAAGUACACUCUUUUUCAAUCAAGAACAAAAGUUAGGGGAUCGAAGAUGAUCAGAUACCGUCGUAGUCCUAACCGCAAACGUUGCCGACCAGGGAUUAUGUAGAUGUCACAUUGAUGGCUUUACUAGAACCCUUAGGGAAACCCUGAGUUUUUGGGUUCCGGGGGGAGUAUGGUCGCAAGGCUGAAACUUAAAGGAAUUGACGGAAGGGCACCACCAGGAGUGGGGUUUGCGGCUUAAUUCGACUCAACACGGGAAACCUUACCAGGUCCAGACUCUGUAAGGAUUGACAGAUUAAUGGAACUUUCUUGAUCCUGAGGGUGGUGGUGCAUGGCCGUUCUUGGUUGGUGGAGCGAUUCGUCUGGUCAAUUCCGUUAACGAACGAGACCUCGACCCCUCAAAUAGUAUUGUUUAUUCUUCCGCUAACAAAGUCAGGUUAGUUAUUCAAGGUUAAUAUAAUUGUUUGUGGUUGGUUAUGUUCGAAAUAUAUUGUUAUCUCGGUAAUAAUAUACUAGGGGAUAAUCGAUUUAAUGGAUGGUUAUAUUAAUUUUAGCUAAUCCCUUUGGUUGAAUAAUCAAAAAAUAUUAUUAUUGUUGUAAAAUGGUAAUAAUAUAAUGCUUCUUAGAGGGACGGCUCGCGAUCAGCGAGAGGAAGCUUGAGGCAAUAACAGGUCUGUGAUGCCCUUUAGAUGUUCUGGACCGCACGCGCACCACACUGAUGGUAAUUCCAACAAGCGAACUAAUUAAUAAAAUGGAUAUUCAUGUAGUUGAAAGAAUAUUAUUAUUUAAUCUCGGUUUUUUAAUAAUAUGAUUUCUUCAACCUCUGUUUAUUUAUUGUGUCCCUUGGCUACGAAAGGUCUUGGGAAUCUCGAAUAAUCAUCGUGAUGGGGAUAGAUCAUUGCAAUUAUUGUUCUUCAACGAGGAAUUCCUAGUAGGCAUGAGUCAUCAGCUCGUGCCGAUUACGUCCCUGCCCUUUGUACACACCGCCCGUCGCUCCUACCGAUCGAACGUCCGGGCAAAGUCCUCGGAGUAAUAAGAUAGUAAUGGCUUGCUAUUAUGACUCGUAUUACAAAGUUGAUUAAACCUCGUCGUUUAGAGGAAGGAGAAGUCGUAACAARGUAUC
Molecule: ribosomal RNA, 2409 nt
Filed under: Thecamoeba similis
Lineage: Eukaryota; Discosea; Longamoebia; Thecamoebida
Description: partial small subunit ribosomal RNA
Rfam family: Eukaryotic small subunit ribosomal RNA
Source: RNAcentral